Molecule: ribosomal RNA, 485 nt
Filed under: uncultured bacterium
Lineage: Bacteria
Description: bacterial SSU rRNA
Rfam family: Bacterial small subunit ribosomal RNA
Source: RNAcentral
AUUGAACGCUGGCGGCAUGCUUUACACAUGCAAGUCGAACGGCAGCACGGGGGCAACCCUGGUGGCGAGUGGCGAACGGGUGAGUAAUGCAUCGGAACGUGCCCAGUAGUGGGGGAUAACGCGUCGAAAGAUGUGCUAAUACCGCAUACGCACUACGGUGGAAAGCGGGGGAUCGUAAGACCUCGCGCUAUUGGAGCGGCCGAUGUCCGAUUAGCUAGUUGGUGGGGUAAUGGCCUACCAAGGCGACGAUCGGUAGCUGGUCUGAGAGGAUGAUCAGCCACACUGGGACUGAGACACGGCCCAGACUCCUACGGGAGGCAGCAGUGGGGAAUUUUGGACAAUGGGCGCAAGCCUGAUCCAGCCAUGCCGCGUGAGUGAAGAAGGCCUUCGGGUUGUAAAGCUCUUUCGGCCGGAACGAAAUCGUCCGAGCUAAUACCUCGGAUGGAUGACGGUACCGGAAGAAGAAGCACCGGCUAACUACGUGC